CCUACGGGGGGCAACAGUGAGGAAUAUUGGUCAAUGGCCGGAAGGCUGAACCAGCCAUGCCGCGUGAGGGAUGAAGGUUCUAUGGAUCGUAAACCUCUUUUAUAAGGGAAUAAAGUGCGGGACGUGUCCCGUUUUGUAUGUACCUUAUGAAUAAGGAUCGGCUAACUCCGUGCCAGCAGCCGCGGUAAUACGGAGGAUCCGAGCGUUAUCCGGUUUUAUUGGGUUUAAAGGGUGCGUAGGCGGGCUGUUAAGUCAGCGGUAAAAGCCCGGGGCUCAACCCCGGCGAGCCGUUGAAACUGGCUGUCUUGAGAUGUCGAGAGGUAUGCGGAAUGCGCAGUGUAGCGGUGAAAUGCUUAGAUAUUGCGCAGAACUCCGAUUGCGAAGGCAGCAUACCGGCGGCGAUCUGACGCUGAGGCACGAAAGCGUGGGUAUCGAACAGGAUUAGAUACCCUAGUAGUC
RNAcentral lists this ribosomal RNA (459 nucleotides) under uncultured bacterium. RNAcentral's name for it is "partial 16S ribosomal RNA". It matches the Rfam family "Bacterial small subunit ribosomal RNA", at positions 338 to 795 of the family's 1533-position model. The record is from RNAcentral.